GUGGGGAGGCCGGAUCCUGGGCUGUGUCCCAGCGCCCUGUGCUCUGGGGCCUGCGUUGUUGGAUUAGCGCUCCUGGCCGCACAGACCCCU
Molecule: microRNA precursor, 90 nt
Filed under: Canis lupus familiaris (dog)
Lineage: Eukaryota; Metazoa; Chordata; Mammalia; Carnivora; Canidae
Also listed under: 1 other name
Description: mir-8799 microRNA precursor family
Rfam family: mir-8799 microRNA precursor family
Source: Rfam by way of RNAcentral